UUCGUCUAUACAAGACUCAUCAGUGACGCCCGAAUCCAAAAAAGUUUAAAAGACCACAUAAAGUACGAAGUUUAAGAUCAUUGACGACCAAAAUUCCUAAAAGUUUUGCCAAAUACAGCUAAGGUAAUCUAUUUCUGAGGUAGAAAAGCCUUAGUAUUUCAAAAAUUCAAAAGUUUUAAUCAGCUAUUACUGUCGAUGUUACUGAUGAUGGCAAAACCUUUGGUUUUUUAGUGUCAUGUUGCCUUGCAAUAU
This 252-nucleotide long non-coding RNA is filed under the name Mytilus galloprovincialis (Mediterranean mussel). Lineage: Eukaryota; Metazoa; Mollusca; Bivalvia; Mytilida; Mytilidae. The record is from RNAcentral.